CCGAAACCCGGUGAUCUAGCCAUGGGCAGGUUGAAGGUUGGGUAACACUAACUGGAGGACCGAACCGACUAAUGUUGAAAAAUUAGCGGAUGACUUGUGGCUGGGGGUGAAAGGCCAAUCAAACCGGGAGAUAGCUGGUUCUCCCCGAAAGCUAUUUAGGUAGCGCCUCGUGAAUUCAUCUCCGGGGGUAGAGCACUGUUUCGGCAAGGGGGUCAUCCCGACUUACCAACCCGAUGCAAACUGCGAAUACCGGAGAAUGUUAUCACGGGAGACACACGGCGGGUGCUAACGUCCGUCGUGAAGAGGGAAACAACCCAGACCGCCAGCUAAGGUCCCAAAGUCAUGGUUAAGUGGGAAACGAUGUGGGAAGGCCCAGACAGCCAGGAUGUUGGCUUAGAAGCAGCCAUCAUUUAAAGAAAGCGUAAUAGCUCACUGGUCGAGUCGGCCUGCGCGGAAGAUGUAACGGGGCUAAACCAUGCACCGAAGCUGCGGCAGCGACACUAUGUGUUGUUGGGUAGGGGAGCGUUCUGUAAGCCUGUGAAGGUGGCCUGUGAGGGUUGCUGGAGGUAUCAGAAGUGCGAAUGCUGACAUAAGUAACGAUAAAGCGGGUGAAAAGCCCGCUCGCCGGAAGACCAAGGGUUCCUGUCCAACGUUAAUCGGGGCAGGGUGAGUCGACCCCUAAGGCGAGGCCGAAAGGCGUAGUCGAUGGGAAACAGGUUAAUAUUCCUGUACUUGGUGUUACUGCGAAGGGGGGACGGAGAAGGCUAUGUUGGCCGGGCGACGGUUGUCCCGGUUUAAGCGUGUAGGCUGGUUUUCCAGGCAAAUCCGGAAAACC
This 835-nucleotide ribosomal RNA is filed under the name Escherichia coli. RNAcentral describes it as "partial 23S ribosomal RNA". It matches the Rfam family "Bacterial large subunit ribosomal RNA", at positions 715 to 1551 of the family's 2925-position model. The record is from RNAcentral. Lineage: Bacteria; Pseudomonadati; Pseudomonadota; Gammaproteobacteria; Enterobacterales; Enterobacteriaceae.